UAUUGCACAAUGGGGGGAACCCUGAUGCAGCGACGCCGCGUGGGCGAUGGAGUGCUUCGGCAUGUAGAGCCCUAUCAGCAGGGAAGAAAAUGACGGUACCUGACUAAGAAGCCCCGGCUAAAUACGUGCCAGCAGCCGCGGUAAUACGUAGGGGGCAAGCGUUAUCCGGAUUUACUGGGUGUAAAGGGAGCGUAGGCGGUUUAGCAAGUCAGAAGUGAAAGCCCGGGGCUCAACUCCGGGACUGCCUUUGAAACUGUUGAACUAGAUUGCAGGAGAGGUAAGUGGAAUUCCUAGUGUAGCGGUGAAAUGCGUAGAUAUUAGGAGGAACACCAGUGGCGAAGGCGGCUUACUGGACUGUAAAUGACGCUGAGGCUCGAAAGCGUGGGGAGCAAACAGG
Molecule: ribosomal RNA, 397 nt
Filed under: uncultured bacterium
Lineage: Bacteria
Description: bacterial SSU rRNA
Rfam family: Bacterial small subunit ribosomal RNA
Source: RNAcentral